RNAcentral lists this transfer RNA (69 nucleotides) under Dipodomys ordii (Ord's kangaroo rat). It matches the Rfam family "tRNA". Rfam says of the family: Transfer RNA (tRNA) molecules are approximately 80 nucleotides in length. Their secondary structure includes four short double-helical elements and three loops (D, anti-codon, and T loops). The record is from Rfam by way of RNAcentral. Lineage: Eukaryota; Metazoa; Chordata; Mammalia; Rodentia; Heteromyidae.
GGUUCCAUGGUGUAAUGGUGAGCACUCUGGACUCCAAAUCAAGCGGUUCGAGUUCAAAUCUCAGGACCU